CCUACGGGGGGCUGCAGUGAGGAAUAUUGGUCAAUGGGCUUACGCCUGAACCAGCCAAGUCGCGUGCGGGAAGACUGCCCUAUGGGUUGUAAACCUCUUUUGUCAGGGAGCAACGCCGGCUACGUGUAGCCGGCCUGAGAGUCCCUGAAGAAAAAGCCUCGGCUAACUCCGUGCCAGCGGCCGCGGUAAUACGGAGGAUGUGAGCGUUAUCCGGAUUUUUUGGGUUUAAGGGGUGCGUAGGCGGAAGUCCAAGUCAGCGGUAAAAUCGCGGGGCUCAACCUCGCUCCGCCGUUGAAACUGGCGUGCUUGAGUGGGCGAGAAGUAUGCGGAAUGCGUGGUGUAGCGGUGAAAUGCAUAGAUAUCACGAAGAACUCCGAUUGCGAAGGCAGCAUACCGGCGCCCAACUGACGCUGAAGCACGAAGGCGUGGGUAUCGAACAGGAUUAGAUACCCUUGUAGUC
Molecule: ribosomal RNA, 460 nt
Filed under: uncultured bacterium
Lineage: Bacteria
Description: partial 16S ribosomal RNA
Rfam family: Bacterial small subunit ribosomal RNA
Source: RNAcentral